RNAcentral lists this long non-coding RNA (1586 nucleotides) under Patiria miniata (bat star). RNAcentral's name for it is "uncharacterized LOC119721448". Lineage: Eukaryota; Metazoa; Echinodermata; Asteroidea; Valvatida; Asterinidae. The record is from RNAcentral.
CAAUUCUUGAUUUCUUCUAAAUGACAGUUUGCCAGAUGGAAUAACUGUAUGGAACAAUCUGUAAUCCAAGUAAGCUUUUUGAAAAAAAACAACUUAUAGCAAGAGAAAGCUAGGGCAAUCCCGUGUAAAAUGCAUGCCCGUAGAAGGGUCGCGGAGGGGGCCGGAAGCUCAAAGACAAAAUGGUGUUCUUUCAGGCUUUGUUAGAUUGUUUUAAUUUUAUCAUAGAGUUUAAAAUAAACAUUUUAUGGUAACAUUUAUCUUGUAAAGAUCUUGAAGAAAUCUCUAACAGAUUUUGACUCUCAAAAAAGGAAAUUUAACCUGAACUUGAAUGUUGAUCUUACAAAAUAUAUCUUGUCGUUCUUUCAUAAAAUAAUGACGCACUGCAGCACAGUCAUUUGACUUACUUAACUUCAUCUCUGAAAAUUGAAAUACAUGUAAAUGAUAAAAAAUGAGUGAGCUCUCGAAAGGUCUGAGCUACAACACCGGUUGUGAACAAUUCAUCACUUCUAAAAGGCUUUUGUGGUUCCAACUUGAGGCCAUCCGCAAACUAAAUUAAUCUACAUUAGAAUAUAAACAGAAGCACUGACCAGUGGACGAAAAGUAGGUUCUUGUUCCAUUGUCCAUUUUGACUGUAACUAAUGCCCUGAAACAUUCAAGACAUACUGAUACUUCUGUCCAAACAAUUGUAAGUUUUCAGAUAUUUUUGCAUUGUUUCCUUCACUUGAGCUUCACUUUUAAAUUCUUCUUAUUGAGUUUGUUAUUUACAUUUGUGUUAAAAAUUGUUAAUUGAAAAGUGGGCUAUUUCUAAUAUAUACAAAAUCAUGUUCAUGAACAAUACACCUCCAUCUAUCUUUACCUAUAAAUUUUCACAUACAAUUUUUAAAUGGAAAGAUGAAAUAACUUUGGCUGUUGUCGUCAUAUUUUCAAAAGAAAAUGAAACAAAACUGAUUUCCAAAAAGGGCGAUUCUAAAAUCGGAUUUUUACAGACAAUAAUAACAUUAAUUAUAAAGUUAUUUAUUUCUCAGAUAAAAUGCUUGGACUUAAUCGUUAUAAUCUUGAUAUGAAAUGGUUAAAAGGAAAUCGGAAAUUCAAAAUUUUUAGGUUUUGUUUUUACAAUGAAUAACUAAUGGAAACAAAUGUCAUCUCAGAGCAUACAAACAAAGGCAGUUCUGAGAUAUUUUUUAAGACUCUUGUUGAAAUUUAACUAUUAAUGUACAAUAAACAACUCACAACUAUUUUCAGGAAUAUGACUCAAAAUAUCUCAUCGAAUAUCAUUAAAGUGCAGGCUAAAAUAUGAAAUAAAAAAAACCAACCCAUAGUAUAGUAUUUUAAAAAGUAUAUUUUUAUACCUGAUCUUUCAAACCAUAUUCACUACUUGUACAUUAUUGUAUUUAACAUGUUGAAUAUCCCAAGUUCAGCGCCCAAUUUCAUGGCUCUGCGUUCUGUUAGUGGGAAAAAUCCCUGCUUUCUGUUACCAAAAAUUCUGUGCUUACUGUUUAUUUCACGGGUUUAGCGAGAAAUUUUGGCUUACGCACAUACCGGUACUUAGAUUUUGUAACUUAAGAUUCUGCGGUUACAGGGUAAGC